GCUGACAGCUAACUCUCUGCAACUCUCUAAUGGUCACCCACUGAAAUUAAGCAGGGCUGUGCCCUGGUCAGUACCUGGAUGGGAGACCUCAUGAGAAAGCUAGGUUGCUGCCAGAA
Molecule: ribosomal RNA, 116 nt
Organism: Danio rerio (zebrafish)
Lineage: Eukaryota; Metazoa; Chordata; Actinopteri; Cypriniformes; Danionidae
Source: Ensembl